RNAcentral lists this ribosomal RNA (1372 nucleotides) under uncultured bacterium. RNAcentral describes it as "bacterial SSU rRNA". It matches the Rfam family "Bacterial small subunit ribosomal RNA", at positions 28 to 1381 of the family's 1533-position model. The record is from RNAcentral.
GAUGAACGCUGGCGGCGUGCCUAAUACAUGCAAGUCGAGCGAACAGACAAGGAGCUUGCUCCUUUGACGUUAGCGGCGGACGGGUGAGUAACACGUGGGUAACCUACCUAUAAGACUGGGAUAACUUCGGGAAACCGGAGCUAAUACCGGAUAAUAUUUCGAACCGCAUGGUUCGAUAGUGAAAGAUGGCUUUGCUAUCACUUAUAGAUGGACCUGCGCCGUAUUAGCUAGUUGGUAAGGUAACGGCUUACCAAGGCAACGAUACGUAGCCGACCUGAGAGGGUGAUCGGCCACACUGGAACUGAGACACGGUCCAGACUCCUACGGGAGGCAGCAGUAGGGAAUCUUCCGCAAUGGGCGAAAGCCUGACGGAGCAACGCCGCGUGAGUGAUGAAGGUCUUCGGAUCGUAAAACUCUGUUAUUAGGGAAGAACAAACGUGUAAGUAACUGUGCACGUCUUGACGGUACCUAAUCAGAAAGCCACGGCUAACUACGUGCCAGCAGCCGCGGUAAUACGUAGGUGGCAAGCGUUAUCCGGAAUUAUUGGGCGUAAAGCGCGCGUAGGCGGUUUUUUAAGUCUGAUGUGAAAGCCCACGGCUCAACCGUGGAGGGUCAUUGGAAACUGGAAAACUUGAGUGCAGAAGAGGAAAGUGGAAUUCCAUGUGUAGCGGUGAAAUGCGCAGAGAUAUGGAGGAACACCAGUGGCGAAGGCGACUUUCUGGUCUGUAACUGACGCUGAUGUGCGAAAGCGUGGGGAUCAAACAGGAUUAGAUACCCUGGUAGUCCACGCCGUAAACGAUGAGUGCUAAGUGUUAGGGGGUUUCCGCCCCUUAGUGCUGCAGCUAACGCAUUAAGCACUCCGCCUGGGGAGUACGACCGCAAGGUUGAAACUCAAAGGAAUUGACGGGGACCCGCACAAGCGGUGGAGCAUGUGGUCUAAUUCGAAGCAACGCGAAGAACCUUACCAAAUCUUGACAUCCUUUGACCCUUCUAGAGAUAGAAGUUUCCCCUUCGGGGGACAAAGUGACAGGUGGUGCAUGGUUGUCGUCAGCUCGUGUCGUGAGAUGUUGGGUUAAGUCCCGCAACGAGCGCAACCCUUAAGCUUAGUUGCCAUCAUUAAGUUGGGCACUCUAAGUUGACUGCCGGUGACAAACCGGAGGAAGGUGGGGAUGACGUCAAAUCAUCAUGCCCCUUAUGAUUUGGGCUACACACGUGCUACAAUGGACAAUACAAAGGGCAGCGAAACCGCGAGGUCAAGCAAAUCCCAUAAAGUUGUUCUCAGUUCGGAUUGUAGUCUGCAACUCGACUACAUGAAGCUGGAAUCGCUAGUAAUCGUAGAUCAGCAUGCUACGGUGAAUACGUUCCCGGGUCU